Suricata suricatta (meerkat) is the source of this 382-nucleotide long non-coding RNA. RefSeq lists it as uncharacterized. The record is from RefSeq and is a predicted model, not a curated record. NCBI's taxonomy places the organism in Eukaryota, Metazoa, Chordata, Mammalia, Carnivora, Herpestidae. The transcript has 3 exons.
UUAAAUGGAGACGGGACAGGAGAAGCUCUUUGCUGUGAGAGCCAGUAUGUCACAUCUAGCUCAAGCAGUCACAAACUUGACCGUGCACUGGAUUCAUCCAUCGUACUUGUAAAAACACAGGAUCCUUCCUGCAAGCCGCCCCAGACCUACUGAAUUGAAUUCAUAGGAGCAGGAGGCCCUGGGUGCCAGGUGGGGGCCCCAAACACACGGCAGCCACAGACUCUGGACAAGCCAGGACACCUGUGUAGGAUAUCAGGUUCAUCCCCGGCACCCACAGCAGCUCUUUCUCAGGCCAGAACACGAAGAUGAAUAAGACAUAGUCUACGUCCUUACUCACAGUCCAGUUGGGGAAUUACACAAAUAAAGGUCUAUAUAAAGUGCU